GAAGGYCUUCSGGUUGGAAGCCCUGUCAGUUGUUAGGAAACUUAKGUGGUUGAUAACUAUCCUGCUUGACCCCGCAACAAAGGAAGCACCGGCUAAAUACCUGCCAGCAGCCGCGGUAAUACGUAUGGUGCGAACGUUGUUCGGAAUCACUGGGCCUAAAGAGCGCGUASGCGGUUUGGUUAGUUAGGUGUGAAAUCCCUCGGCUUAACCGGGGAACUGCACCUAAUACUGCCUCACUAGARUGCAGGAGGGGAGAGUGGAAUUCCUGGUGGAGCGGUGAAAUGCGUUSAUAUUCSGAGGAACGCCGGUGGCGAAAGCGACUCUCUGGUCUGCUACUGACGCUGAGGCGCGAAAGCUAGGGGAGCAAACGGGAUUAGAUACCCCGGUAGUCCUAGCCCUAAACGAUGGGCACUAAGUAGAGCCAGGCCUCCACACCUUCUCGGACGUAGCGAAAGUGUUAAGUGCUCCGCCUGGGGAGUAUGGUCCCWAGGSUGAAACUCAAARGAAUUGACUGRRGCUCAARCWGGCGAAGGAGGAUGUGGCUUAAUUCAAGGCUACSCKAAGAACCUUAUCCUGGUCUUGACAUGCUUGGGAAUACCUGUGAAAGCAGGUAGUGCCUUUCGSGGAGUCCUUGCMCAGGUGCUGCAUGGCUGUCUUCARCUCSUGUCGUGAGAUGUCUGGUUAAGUCCCGUAACKAGCKAAMUCCUUAUCUGUAGGUGC
This 720-nucleotide ribosomal RNA is filed under the name uncultured bacterium. RNAcentral describes it as "partial 16S ribosomal RNA". It matches the Rfam family "Bacterial small subunit ribosomal RNA", at positions 410 to 1118 of the family's 1533-position model. The record is from RNAcentral.